UAUGGGCAUGAUAUUUAUAUGCGGUACCUGGCUAGGAGUACCUGCAAGAUAGUCCAGAUUCUGAAUAAAACUUGGGUAGUUUUAAAAGAGAAAGUUUCAGUAGCAUAGAAAGACUAUAGAUGAUAGUUACCAAACUUUUCGGAGAGCCAAAAAUUCCCUGUUUUUAACUCUUGGCUCCAGGACAGCCAUUUAGCAUGAUGACUUCGCCGCUGCCUUCUUCCCCUCCUGCCACUCCGUGCAGUAGUGUGCUUGCGCACACACAGUUUCAAGGGCUGCAGAGGAGAAGCAGAGCUUAUCAACAGUUACCUGUUAGGUUCACGACCUAUUUUUGCUUACGUCCAGUCCUCUUUUCUUUUGGGAAUGUGGACAUUUUUCUUUAGCUGCCAGAUCAUGAGAAAAUAUGACUGCUGAGAUUUUUUGCUAGGAUUCUUUUAAAAAAUAGAUCAGGCUCUGUACAUAGUAAAGAAAAACUCAUGAGGACUCCAGGUAGGUAAUUUACUUCUAUUGUAUGUAUAGUUUCUUUGAAGCCUCUGCACCUCUAUCCUGUUUUACAUUUCUGUAAAUCUGAUUUGACCGUUAAUAAACU
Molecule: long non-coding RNA, 586 nt
Filed under: Bos taurus (domestic cattle)
Lineage: Eukaryota; Metazoa; Chordata; Mammalia; Artiodactyla; Bovidae
Description: long non-coding RNA NONBTAT011998
Source: RNAcentral